This 328-nucleotide ribosomal RNA is filed under the name uncultured Clostridiaceae bacterium. Its description in RNAcentral is "bacterial SSU rRNA". It matches the Rfam family "Bacterial small subunit ribosomal RNA", at positions 28 to 339 of the family's 1533-position model. Lineage: Bacteria; Bacillati; Bacillota; Clostridia; Eubacteriales; Clostridiaceae. The record is from RNAcentral.
GAUGAACGCUGGCGGCGUGCCUAACACAUGCAAGUCGAGCGAGAAGUCUUCGAACAGAGAUUCGUCGAAGUAAGAAGAUGGACAGCGGCGGACGGGUGAGUAACGCGUAGGUAACCUACCCCAAGCUGAGGGAUAGCCUAGGAAAACCUGGAUUAAUACCUCAUAACGCGGAGGAGUCACAUGGCUUUUUCGCCAAAGAUUUAUCGGCCUGGGAUGGACCUGCGUCUGAUUAGCCAGUUGGUGGGGUAACGGCCUACCAAAGCAACGAUCAGUAGCCGACCUGAGAGGGUGAUCGGCCACAUUGGAACUGAGACACGGUCCAAACUCC